This 297-nucleotide long non-coding RNA is filed under the name Numida meleagris (helmeted guineafowl). Its description in RNAcentral is "lncRNA (ENSNMEG00000014540.1)". The record is from RNAcentral. Lineage: Eukaryota; Metazoa; Chordata; Aves; Galliformes; Numididae.
AUGCCCCAACCAACAGUCUCAGGUGACAGGCCAAGGAAAGAGACUGAAGGACUUUCCAGGUCAGCUCUUGAAGGGGGACAGCAGGAAGACACAGACUUUGUUCUGGGCAUGAUUAACAAGGAGGCACUGGUGGGGUUGAUAAUUCAGGCAUGUGAGCAGCAGAAGUUCAUUUCUAUCUGCCGACCCUACCUUAAGGCUUGGUUUAGUCUACCCAUGUUUCUCUGCAAAAGCAGAAUCAUCACAUCAUCUAAGUUGCAAAAGACCAUCAAGUUCAUUAUAGUCCAGUCAUCAACCUGA